AGUGAACGCUGGCGGUAGGCCUAACACAUGCAAGUCGAACGGCAGCACAGUAAGAGCUUGCUCUUACGGGUGGCGAGUGGCGGACGGGUGAGGAAUACAUCGGAAUCUACUUUUUCGUGGGGGAUAACGUAGGGAAACUUACGCUAAUACCGCAUACGACCUACGGGUGAAAGCAGGGGAUCUUCGGACCUUGCGCGAUUGAAUGAGCCGAUGUCGGAUUAGCCAGUUGGCGGGGUAAAGGCCCACCAAGGCGACGAUCCGUAGCUGGUCUGAGAGGAUGAUCAGCCACACUGGAACUGAGACGCGGUCCAGACUCCUACGGGAGGCAGCAGUGGGGAAUAUUGGACAAUGGGCGCAAGCCUGAUCCAGCCAUACCGCGUGGGUGAAGAAGGCCUUCGGGUUGUAAAGCCCUUUUGUUGGGAAAGAAAAGCAGCAGGUUAAUACCCCGCUGUUCUGACGGUACCCAAAGAAUAAGCACCGGCUAACUUCGUG
Molecule: ribosomal RNA, 492 nt
Filed under: uncultured bacterium
Lineage: Bacteria
Description: partial 16S ribosomal RNA
Rfam family: Bacterial small subunit ribosomal RNA
Source: RNAcentral